Molecule: long non-coding RNA, 102 nt
Organism: Alosa sapidissima (American shad)
Lineage: Eukaryota; Metazoa; Chordata; Actinopteri; Clupeiformes; Clupeidae
Exons: 3
Source: RefSeq, a predicted model, not a curated record
UUUACUGCAGUAACAGUCUCUAGAUUGUUAGGGGUGCAGGUGUGUGUUCCAAUCCAUGGUGAAUGAGUGACAUGUAGUGGAGUGCGAGUGAUUCAGUGUUAA